UAGUUACUCCCUCCGUCCGGAAAUACUUGUCAUCAAAAUGAAUAAAAAAAGAUGUAUCUAGAUGUAUUUUAAUACUAGAUACAUCUAUUUUUAUCUAUUUUAAUGACAAAUAUUUUCGAACGGAGGCAGUAGUAG
This is a non-coding RNA of Triticum aestivum (bread wheat), 135 nucleotides long. NCBI's taxonomy places the organism in Eukaryota, Viridiplantae, Streptophyta, Magnoliopsida, Poales, Poaceae. The record is from Rfam.